This 515-nucleotide ribosomal RNA is filed under the name uncultured bacterium. RNAcentral's name for it is "partial 16S ribosomal RNA". It matches the Rfam family "Bacterial small subunit ribosomal RNA", at positions 28 to 523 of the family's 1533-position model. The record is from RNAcentral.
GAUGAACGCUGGCGGCGUGCCUAAUACAUGCAAGUCGAGCGAAUGGAUUAAGAGCUUGCUCUUAUGAAGUUAGCGGCGGACGGGUGAGUAACACGUGGGUAACCUGCCCAUAAGACUGGGAUAACUCCGGGAAACCGGGGCUAAUACCGGAUAACAUUUUGAACCGCAUGGUUCGAAAUUGAAAGGCGGCUUCGGCUGUCACUUAUGGAUGGACCCGCGUCGCAUUAGCUAGUUGGUGAGGUAACGGCUCACCAAGGCAACGAUGCGUAGCCGACCUGCGAGGGUGAUCGGACACACCGGGACUGAGACACGGCCCAGACUCCUACGGGAGGCAGCAGUAGGGAAUCUUCCGCAAUGGACGAAAGUCUGACGGAGCAACGCCGCGUGAGUGAUGAAGGCUUUCGGGUCGUAAAACUCUGUUGUUAGGGAAGAACAAGUGCUAGUUGAAUAAGCUGGCACCUUGACGGUACCUAACCAGAAAGCCACGGCUAACUACGUGCCAGCCGCCGCUGUAA